This 72-nucleotide transfer RNA is filed under the name Ictidomys tridecemlineatus (thirteen-lined ground squirrel). RNAcentral's name for it is "Spermophilus tridecemlineatus (thirteen-lined ground squirrel) tRNA". It matches the Rfam family "tRNA". Rfam says of the family: Transfer RNA (tRNA) molecules are approximately 80 nucleotides in length. Their secondary structure includes four short double-helical elements and three loops (D, anti-codon, and T loops). The record is from Rfam by way of RNAcentral. Lineage: Eukaryota; Metazoa; Chordata; Mammalia; Rodentia; Sciuridae.
UGGGCUGUGGCUCCGUGGUAGAGCACUUGCCCAGCAUGCUUGAGGCCCUGGGUUCAAUCCCUAGCACUGCAA